RNAcentral lists this ribosomal RNA (253 nucleotides) under uncultured bacterium. RNAcentral describes it as "partial 16S ribosomal RNA". It matches the Rfam family "Bacterial small subunit ribosomal RNA", at positions 524 to 776 of the family's 1533-position model. The record is from RNAcentral.
UACGUAGGGGGCAAGCGUUGUCCGGAAUCAUUGGGCGUAAAGCGCGUGUAGGCGGUUCGAUAAGUCUGCUGUGAAAGUCAAAGGCUUAACCUUUGAAUGCCAGUGGAUACUGUCGGACUAGAGUGCGGAAGAGGCAAGUGGAAUUCCUGGUGUAGCGGUGAAAUGCGCAGAUAUCAGGAGGAACACCAACGGCGAAGGCAGCUUGCUGGGACGUUACUGACGCUGAGACGCGAAAGCGUGGGGAGCAAACAGG